UGUCUCUUUGCAGAAACCACACUGCAUUGUCAUGAAAGGGCCAUUUGAACAAGGUAGCUACAAUGAAAUUAUCUCAAUGCAUUUCAAUCACUUUGCAACAUCAAGGUUCAUUUCUCAGUAACAGUCUCUUUGACAAUAAAUGAAUUGCGUGAUUGGUGUGUGUUUGCGUGUGUGCAUGUGUGUGACACCCCUUCAUGAUGAAUUCCUGGGUAUGCCAAUGUUACAAGUGAUUGGUCUUUGCAUCCAUCUCUUAGCAUAAAUCCCCAGCAUCAACGUGACAUGUUGAGCAGCACCGAGCCCCCUGGAUUCUCUCAGUCUUGGUGAGAGAGGGAGUGGGGACUGUGUUCACGCUGUUACAAAAGGACAUCUAAGAGGGACAGCAGGGAGGAAGCUGGGCAGAAAUGCUCCGAAUCAAUAGCUCUUUCUUCUUGGUGGCUUGGAGCUUGCAAUCUCUCAGCCUGUGUCGAGUCAUCAUGAAACUGAAGAAUCCUUGGAAAGUCACUGGGUUGGGCACUUUUAAAAGUAGAGUCUUUUCUGUUCUGCUUAGAAACUCUCAUGGCAUGCUACAGAGAAAAGAGGAGCAGAGGCCCACAGAGCUCCCUUCACCAGAGAAGGGAGCGAGGAGGUCAGAGGGUGGAGGAGGUGGGCUGGGAUCUCCCAGGGCAGCACCUGGGCGGAGUUCUGGAGCCACUCCCAGCCUGGGGAGAAGCCCUGCCCCUACUGUUUGCUAAAAGUUUGGACAAAUCCUUCUCUGCCCUGUACCUCAGGUUUUCCAUCUGUAAAGUGGGAAGACAACCAUCCCACAGAGGUGCCAUGAAAGAUUUUUAGGGAGUACCUAAAAGGUUCUUUAGGUGCUAGUCAAGUCCCGGGGUCUCGAUGUGUCAUUAACUUGCUGUGUGGUCUUGAGCAAGUUACUUAAGAUUUGUUAGGUCUCCUUCCUUUCUUUAUAACAGGGUAAUAACCUACCUCCCUAUUUAACUUAUGAGUAAAGCAGAAUGGCUGUGAGAGUGGGCCUGGAGCCAAAGAUACCUGACUGUAAAUCUGAGCUCUGCUCCAUCAUCUUGGGUAGUCUGCUAAGGUUUCUGUCUCCUGUCCAAACCUUCAUCUGUAAACGGGAGCAAAUCAUCUCUAAUUUGUAGACCUGUUGUGAGAAUUUAAUGAUAAUGCAUGUAAAAUGCCUAGCAGGGGCCUGUCACAUAGAAUGUACCCUAUUGAUGGUAGCUGCAGGUAUAUUACAAGGUUGUACUGAAAAACAAAUGAAAGAAAGCAAUCUUUCCUUGAAAAAUGCACAGAGCUCCACAAAUCUAUGACAUCAUGAUGAUUAUGAUGAUUGUUGCAAAUGUCACAUCUUCAUGUGGAGUCGAGGUGGGCAUUAGCCACACUGUUCCCAUUACUCAAACCCCAGAUGCUCCAAUGACAGAGCCUCUGCUGAGAGGCUGACGUCAGGGAGAGGUGGAGGAGGGCAGAUCUCCCAACCCUUGGCUUCCACCAGCUUCCUCUCACCGUGGAGCCCUAAGGCCUCAGCAGACACGCUGACUUCUUUUCAGAACAAAGCACAGCAAAACAAAACACACAGCGGCUGCUGAAUGGAAAACACUUGCACUCUAGAAAGGCUGGCAAAUUCCCUGCCUCGUCCCACCCUGCACGGACAGGGCCCUCUCUGCCCAGCCACCUCCUGGUGCACCCCGCUGUAUCUCUGACCACACUUUAAAUGUGCACCCUAGGAGGUGGAUGCUCUGCAGAGAGUGUGUGUGUCUGAUCUGAGGCCUGUGGUCCCCUGAAGAAAGACCAACAGGACUGGGUGCCAUCCUGUGCCCAAGUUGUUCCCAGGAGGAGAAAGCCUGUAGGAGGGGAGCAAGCUCCCAUUCUGCCUCCAUUCCUUGCAAGGUCAGCCAGCUACAUGCUUUCUUCUGGCUGGGCCCCUGAGGGCAAUUGUUGCUUUUUCCUCUUGAGGAGUCUUUUUAUUUUCAGAGUGGCAGGGAGGAUGGUUUAUGGUGAGUAUGGACCUAAAUGAGAAGGGUGAGUAGUAGAUGGCGUAUUCUCUGGGCUGUGAAUCCUGGUCAGGUGGGGGUGGCUGGGCUGGGGCAGGAGACACUGUAAAGAGCCAGUAGGCCUGGAUUCCUUCCAGCCGUGCUGCUUCCUGCCAUUUACUCCAUCUGACCUACUUCACAGGCUGGGCUGCCAUGAGCGGCUGCUGCAGGCUGUGCACUGCACAAGGCCAAGGCUUACCAUUUGCAUGGUCUGCGGAGGAAUGGUGCUCCUGAGAGCUGUUCUCUGCAGCAGCUUUGCUCAUGGGGCACUGGUGAGCAGCAAACAGAAUCAUCGUCUUCAUCACCAUCAGCAGGAGCAGUGACUUUACCAAUGAUUGAUCAGCUGUUAUGUGCCAGGCUCUGUGCUAAGUGCUUUACAUUUUAUCCUCCCCUCCACCCUAUAUCAGCUUCCUGAGGCCUCACCAGAAGCUGAGAAGAUACUGGAACCGUGCUUCCUGUACAGCCUGCAGAACUAAUCUGGCCCCUGUGCUGUGAGAAGCCUACCCCACAUGGAAAUAUACACAGAGGAAAAUGGAGGCAGUGGCCAAAAACAUAAGUCAAGCUCCUAGUCAACAGCCAGUGCUGAUUAUCAGCCAUGUGAGUGAACCACUAGGGCCUUCUAGCCCAGUCAAGCCUUCAGAUGACUGCAGCCCCCGAUGUCACUAUACGGAGCAGGUGAACCACUCAACUGAACAUUGCCAAGCCACAGAACCAUGAAAGUUAGUACAUGGGGAAGACUGGAAAUAGAGUCCUUUAUCUCAGAUAUCAAACCCUGGCCCAGGAUACACAAGACCAGGAGUCAUCACCAUCAGUAACAGUAACAACAGCUUCAUUAACAAGUUGCUGUUCCGACGUGGGCUCCGGGGUGGGGAAGGAAGGAGGGCGUUCGGCUCAACGUCCAGGAGAGGCACCGGCGAACUCGAGAGCCAAGAGCGGCACUCCCACCUGGGCACUCCUUGCUGAUGGACCGGGACCUCCUCUCCCAUUUCUCCGGGGCCUCCAGGGCCCUCCCGCACAUUCAGCAUGAUCUCUGAGGAGUUCACUAGCUUUCCUCCCUCCGCUCUCCAGCUCCCGUUCCUACCAAAUGCACCAAUCAUCACUAAGCCAGGUCAAAGGCCAUGGGAUCAGCUGUGAUCUCUCCCUUCCUUUUUCAUUCUCCUCUCCUCAUAUCCAAACUGUCAUUAAACUCAGUGUUUCUUCCUUCAGGCUGUUUCUUGAAUUGGUUUCUUCUCUAUCCCACUAUUACUGUCCUGAUCCGUGCUAAUCCAACAGUUUCUGCCCCCACCCCAGGACAGCUUGUGUUAUCACGGCCAGGUGGAUCUUUCUAGAACACCAAGCUCAGCGUAUCCCUUCUGAUCAACAGAGAAGGAGAGGAGAGCCUACACUGUGCUGGGUCACUGUGUUACGCUAUGUGCUUGUUUCAUUUAAUACCGU
RNAcentral lists this long non-coding RNA (3464 nucleotides) under Homo sapiens (human). Its description in RNAcentral is "HSALNT0182998". Lineage: Eukaryota; Metazoa; Chordata; Mammalia; Primates; Hominidae. The record is from RNAcentral.